UACAGAGGUGGCAAGCGUUGUUCGGAAUUACUGGGCGUAAAGCGUGCGCAGGCGGUUCGCUAAGACCGAUGUGAAAUCCCCGGGCUUAACCUGGGAACUGCAUUGGUGACUGGCGGGCUAGAGUAUGGCAGAGGGGGGUAGAAUUCCACGUGUAGCAGUGAAAUGCGUAGAGAUGUGGAGGAAUACCGAUGGCGAAGGCAGCCCCCUGGGCCAAUACUGACGCUCAUGCACGAAAGCGUGGGGAGCAAACAGG
Molecule: ribosomal RNA, 253 nt
Filed under: uncultured bacterium
Lineage: Bacteria
Description: partial 16S ribosomal RNA
Rfam family: Bacterial small subunit ribosomal RNA
Source: RNAcentral